GAGUAGAGCGGCGCACGGUGAGUAACGCGUGGGUGACUACCAGGAGACCGGGAUACAGUGGGAAACUGCUGCUAAUACCGGGUACGCUUCAUAUUUCACGUAUGGGGGAAAGGCGGCCUCUGCUUGCAAGCUGCCACUCUUGGAUGGGCCCGCGUCUCAUUAGCUUGUUGGUAGGGUAACGGCCUACCAAGGCGACGAUGAGUAGCUGGUCUGAGAGGAUGAUCAGCCACACUGGGACUGGAACACGGCCCAGACUCCUACGGGAGGCAGCAGUGGGGAAUAUUGCGCAAUGGGCGAAAGCCUGACGCAGCGACGCCGCGUGAGGGAAGAAAAGGGCCUUCGGGUCGUAAACCUCUGUCAGGAGGGAAGAAACCAUGGGAGUCGAACAGGCUCUCGUGCUGACGGUACCUCCGGAGGAAGCACCGGCUAACUCCGUGCCAGCAGCUGC
RNAcentral lists this ribosomal RNA (448 nucleotides) under uncultured bacterium. RNAcentral describes it as "bacterial SSU rRNA". It matches the Rfam family "Bacterial small subunit ribosomal RNA", at positions 88 to 518 of the family's 1533-position model. The record is from RNAcentral.